GGACGAACGCUGGCGGCGUGCCUAGCACAUGCAAGUCGAACGGGACCGGGGGCAACUCCGGUUCAGUGGCGGACGGGUGCGUAACACGUGAGGAACAUGACCUUCGGCGGGGGAUAGCCGGCCCAACGGCCGGGUAAUACCGCGUACGACCUUUCGGGGACAUCCCUGGAUGGUGAAAGCAGCAAUGCGCCGAUGGAGUGCCUCGCGGCCUAUCAGCUAGUUGGUGGGGUAACGGCCUACCAAGGCAACGACGGGUAGCUGGUCUGAGAGGAUGGCCAGCCACAUUGGGACUGAGACACGGCCCAGACUCCUACGGGAGGCAGCAGUGGGGAAUAUUGCGCAAUGGACGAAAGUCUGACGCAGCGACGCCGCGUGUGGGAUGACGGUCUUCGGAUUGUAAACCACUGUCGGGAGGGACGAAUACGCCGCAAGGCGGGUGACGGUACCUCCAAAGGAAGCACCGGCUAACUCCGUGCCAGCAGCCGCGGUAAUACGGAGGGUGCGAGCGUUGUCCGGAAUCACUGGGCGUAAAGGGCGCGUAGGCGGCCUGGUAAGUAGGGGGUGAAAUCCUGCGGCUUAACCGCAGGGCUGCCUUCUAAACUGUCAGGCUGGAUCAC
RNAcentral lists this ribosomal RNA (617 nucleotides) under uncultured soil bacterium. RNAcentral describes it as "bacterial SSU rRNA". It matches the Rfam family "Bacterial small subunit ribosomal RNA", at positions 27 to 649 of the family's 1533-position model. The record is from RNAcentral.